Long non-coding RNA from Corvus hawaiiensis (hawaiian crow), 2736 nucleotides. RefSeq lists it as uncharacterized. The transcript has 2 exons. The record is from RefSeq and is a predicted model, not a curated record. Lineage: Eukaryota; Metazoa; Chordata; Aves; Passeriformes; Corvidae.
UUCUGAGGCUCACAAUCCCCCUCAGCGAUUCUGCGAGCCCCAAGGCUGGCCCUGCCACACCUUUGCAAGUGACUAUUUUAAGCAAGUGUGCUCAUCGGGUUUGGGAGGACAACUGCUCCAAGUAAUUCUGGGAUGCAGGUUUCGCACCACAGGAUGCCAGCAGGAUCCAGUGAAGGUUAUGGACUGUCUAGCCUGAACUCCAUCUGUGCCCUGAAGUUUCCUCUUGGCUGGGCACCGCUGAAGGACCAGAAGCAGCCAGUAGGAAGCAGUAGGCACAGGGGCUCUUGGGGAAUUUAAGCCAUCUGAACGUGGCACUCAGUUUUUUAAGACAGCGUUUUUUUAAGCGCUGUGAACAUAUUGCACCCAAUUAUAAUUGCAUUAUGUACUCUGUGCCGUGCUAUGAGUGCAUGCCUCCUCCUAGCUAUGGAGGGGCAAAUCUGACAUAUAUACAACAAGUGCCCUGUUUUCUCCUAUGUAGCUUCUUCCAGCCUGUGUAUCACGAUAGUAUUUGCAUGCCUCCCAGUAGGGCACUGAACUGUGUGGCUAACAUCUGCCACGUGUUGUUUGUUCUGUCCUCCUCUCCCAAGGAAGGAGGUGAGUGUAGUGGAGCAUCUUGUUUUUGCAGCACAUUUGUUUGGCUUUUGCUUUCCCUGCAUGCAGAGCUAUGUAUACGCAUUAGUAAAAGUAAGGGCACAGAAAUGUGUCCUGCAAUUGAAAAUGCCUUUAUUUUGGUAAGGGGAAUAAUGGCUGAUUAAGUCAAAUUAAAAAGGGAAGGGAGACUUGAUUUUCCUUAUUCUCAGCAUACCCGGUUUGACAAAUGGGUCUUAACCACAGAUGACAGUAUUAGCUUCAGCCUUUCAGAUAAGGAAAUCUUGGCUGCUAUUCCCUCUGCCCAUUUAUCUAUGAUAAAUUUAAAGACACAUGUUCCCCCUUCCUGGACAAACAUUCUUCUACUGUUUGGGGUUUUUUAAUCUAACAGUAAAAUUUCUUUAUAUAUCUCUUUAUAUAUGUCUUUCUUCCCUUCUCUGAAUGGGCAGCCUUCUACAUGAUACCCUCUGUGGAUCUUGCCAAACAGUAACACUGGCUCUGGACACAGCUCUAUUUCAUCGCAGUUUGGGUCUGCACCUGGUUUAGUGGCAGGGGCACUUCUGAAGCCUAGGAGCCUGGCCUAUAUAUGCUUCUGUCUCUAGGGUUUUAUUUUAAGUAUUUUCACCUUUCUGGUGAAAGAUUAAUAUUUUCACUCUAUGCUGGAUUUUAUUAGUGAUCCUUACUCGAGCAAAUAACUAGUAGUCAAACAACAGUUCUUGUAUUCUAGGGGGCACUGAAACAUAGGACAGAGGGAAAAUCUGUAUUUUGCAAGAAACUGAAACACCUUCUUGAGCCCAGAGGUAAAGUCCUACUUUACCUCUGGGUUGUGUGUAUCCAUGUCGCUGUUAACACUAAGCUGAUUUAUACUUUUUCCAUGUGUACUUUAAGAUUACCUUAUUUUAAAGGAUCAGAGUGAUAAUUUCUUUUCUUUAAGUUCUAGUAAAAUGCUCAGUUUCUUAUAAUCCUUACCACUGCCUUCCAGGGCACUCUGUCUCAUCCUGCACUUGCUGGCUUGGUGUUACAACAAAAAGCAAACGCAGGUUCACGAAAGCAUUAUAGGAAGCAAAUAAUGCCUUUAUCCCUGGAGAUGUGCCAGCCCAGCAGUAUCAAAGCUGAGCCUUCCCUGACCUCUGCUCACGGGGCUCUGAGGCGGUCAGGACCCAGGCUGCAGUGACGGGGCCGGGACUCGGAGUGCCCGGGGGACGUGUGCUGGCGAGGGCUGUGCCGCCUCCCGGGCACCCAGUACGGCACGUCGCGUUUCUGUGCCUUCAGCGCCCAUUAAAAGACUGACUCCCUUGGCUUUGCAUGAACAUAAGACUGCCGUUUCCUCUCUGUGACUGAUGUUUGAACGAUGAAGUGAUUUUUUAGCGGAGGAAAAGGGCAACAGUAACAGUGAAUACACUGAACACCAGGACAGGGCAGUAGGAAGCCCACCCUGCAGUUCACCGGGGCUGAUGGAAGAGUGGGCGCUGAGCCCGGUCCCAGACAUGCUGCAGGGUGCGACAUGGGCUCCUGCGCUAGCCCUGUGCCUCUGGGACAGCCCUUCCCGAGUGGACGCUCCUCUGGGCACAGCUGGGCACAGCUCCGGCCGAAACAUUGCACAGGCUCUCGCUGGCUGCCCAGCCCAGCUCCUGGCCGAGGGCUGGAAUCAGCACCGUCCUCCGAAGGGCUGGAUGGUGUCCGCUCCUCGCCGCCUCGCCCACAAACAGUUGUUUGUCUUAAGUUGAGAUUUUUUUUCCCUGGGGCUGCCACAGAUUUUCCACCUCAGGGGCCAACCAACGGCCAGGGAGGGAGGCUCGUUAGUGGCCGUGAGGGCGGCCGUCCCUGCCAGUGCCAGGCCUGUCUGGUGAGGGAGGCGGGCGGCAGCUUCGCGUAAAAUGCCAAACAACCGUCCUUGUUUUCCUUGGUUGCCAGGGUAGGAGUUGACAUUGUCCCCAGCGGAGCACAAGGACUCCCCGUGACAUGGCGGGGACAAUGGGAAGAAACAAUUCAGAAAGUGACGCAUUGCUUCUGCCUGUGGACAGAGGGAACAGCUGAAACGUGGGAGACCAGACUACAGCUGUGUGACUACAGCUUGCUUUUUAAUUUUUUUUCUUUUUUUUUUAAACAACACAUACUUUAGUGAAUAAAAACUACUGAUUCCCUCUG